RNAcentral lists this unclassified non-coding RNA (215 nucleotides) under Hevea brasiliensis (rubber tree). Lineage: Eukaryota; Viridiplantae; Streptophyta; Magnoliopsida; Malpighiales; Euphorbiaceae. The record is from RNAcentral.
UCCCCUGUUCUUGAAGUUCUUCCUAUUUUCUUGAUUAUCCCUCAAAAUUUCCUUUCCCUGAGUUUCUAUUCUGCUUUCCAACAAUCAGAGUUCUAACUUUCUUUAUUUUCUUUGCUUUCUUGAAGUUCUUCACGUGAGGCCUUUGAUUCCAAAGGUUUGCAAGAUGUCUAAGAGUGUAGUGAUAAGUCAAGAAGCUGUUAGAAUGGAUGAAUUGG